UACGUAGGGUGCGAGCGUUAAUCGGAAUUACUGGGCGUAAAGCGUGCGCAGGCGGUUCGUUAAGUCAGAUGUGAAAGCCCCGGGCUCAACCUGGGAACUGCAUUUGAAACUGGCGGGCUUGAGUAUGGCAGAGGGGGGUGGAAUUCCGCGUGUAGCAGUGAAAUGCAUUGAGAUCGGAAAGAACACCAACGGCGAAAGCACUCUGCUGGGCCGACACUGACACUGAGAGACGAAAGCUAGGGGAGCAAAUGGG
This 253-nucleotide ribosomal RNA is filed under the name uncultured bacterium. RNAcentral describes it as "partial 16S ribosomal RNA". It matches the Rfam family "Bacterial small subunit ribosomal RNA", at positions 524 to 776 of the family's 1533-position model. The record is from RNAcentral.